GCCACUGCAGUGACAGGGCUGGAUCCUUAAUCUGCUGAACCACUAGGAAACUCUUCACUCUGUGCUUUUCUGAGUCAAAUUUCAGCCUAUUCCUCAAAAUAGUAGGAGAUGGCUCAACCUGAACGCUCGCUCGAGUGCUGUAGGCCAUUUGUGGAUUUGGCAUGAAGGUCUUCUCAGGAGAUCCUGGCUUCCCACAAGCAUUAUUGUUUAGGUCACAAGCCUCUCUGCUGUGUCUGCUUGCUGCUGUCACAAGCAAUUCAUUUCCCAACCUAUUAGGGUAUAAGAGGUCCCAUCCCUGAAGACCAGUGGCUCAAUGUUUAAUGAAAAAGGGGAGAAAGGGAAAGGGGCAUCUAGUUCUAGUGCCCCACACACACCAAAAACCCUGAAGAAAAAUCCAGUUAAUUUUAGAGAUGCAAAGCCCUUAAUCCAUGCGCCUGGGCUCUCAUAAAACUGGUCCUCAUCAACGUGCAAAAAGUCUCAUGCUCAAAACCAAAAUGUAAAAGAUAAAGCUGAUACCACCAUUGCUUUCCUAGAUAUAGACCCCCAGCCCUCUAAGGUUGAUUGCGACAACCUAGAGAAGGAAGAUUGUGUUCACAGGCCCCUCAGGACCAUCAGGAACUUAUUAGAGCUGGCCCCCAUUGUCGUUUAUGACAAAUGAUCUGUAAACACCGAUUGACUGCAGCUUACAUUCACUGGAGAGAUUGUCUUGAAGAUACAGCUUAAACUGUAAAAUAAAAACAUUCCAGUAACAGCUGAAAAUGCCCAUUUCAAUUAUAGACAGUUUAAUUAUUGAUAUUGUUGUAGGCAACCAAAAUUCACACAUGUUGUUUAUUAAAACAUAAACCUUGGUGUC
Phacochoerus africanus (Common warthog) is the source of this 853-nucleotide long non-coding RNA. RefSeq lists it as uncharacterized. The transcript is spliced from 2 exons. NCBI's taxonomy places the organism in Eukaryota, Metazoa, Chordata, Mammalia, Artiodactyla, Suidae. The record is from RefSeq and is a predicted model, not a curated record.